UACUUGGUGUUACUGCGAAGGGGGGACGGAGAAGGCUAUGUUAGCCGGGCGACGGUUGUCCCGGUUUAAGCAUGUAGGCUGGUUAUCCAGGCAAAUCCGGAUAAUCAAGGCUGAGGUGUGAUGACGAAGCACUACGGUGCUGAAGUAACAAAUGCCCUGCUUCCAGGAAAAGCCUCUAAGCAUCAGGUAACAUCAAAUCGUACCCCAAACCGACACAGGUGGUCAGGUAGAGAAUACCAAGGCGCUUGAGAGAACUC
RNAcentral lists this ribosomal RNA (257 nucleotides) under Klebsiella quasipneumoniae subsp. similipneumoniae. Its description in RNAcentral is "partial 23S ribosomal RNA". It matches the Rfam family "Bacterial large subunit ribosomal RNA", at positions 1442 to 1701 of the family's 2925-position model. Lineage: Bacteria; Pseudomonadati; Pseudomonadota; Gammaproteobacteria; Enterobacterales; Enterobacteriaceae. The record is from RNAcentral.